CAGGAAGUGACAUCAUCAGAGAUGUUAUGACAGAAUGUCUCUAGAAUAGUCAGUAGAAUCUCUGAAAGGAUGUCUGCCAGUGCACAGCAUUAUGACAUCAUUGACUUAAAUAAGGAGGCUCAUUCUAGUACUCAUUCUUGAUCUGUGGUUACAGAAUAUUGGCACCAUGUUAAAUCUCCCUCUCACCUCUCUGACAGUAUCUGAACAAAGGACGCUGGUACCAGAGGAUAGUGUUAUAGCUAGGGAUUUUAUGACUGCAGCUGAGUGGGACAGAGACAGACGCAUUAGGCUCUACCAGCAGUGUAGAGGGAGACUGGUACACUACUUUACUGAGAGAGACACCUGGGGAGAGAGACAGAGACAGACGCAUUAGGCUCUACCAGCAGUGUAGAGGGAGACUGGUACACUACUUUACUGAGAGAGACACCUGGGGAGAGAGACAGAGACAGAGAGAGAGAGAGAGCGAGACAGCGAGAAAGAGAGACAGCGAGAGAGGAGAGAGAGACAGUGAAAGAGGAGAGAGAGGAGAGAGAGACAGGGAGAGAGACAGAGAAUGAGAGCGAGAGAAAGACAGCGACAAAGAGACAGCGAGAGAGAUGAUAGAGAGAGACAGCGAGAAAGAGAGACAGCGAGAGAGAGGAGAGAGAGUGAGGAGAGAGAAAAAUCGGGAAGUUUCGACUCCUAUUCGUUCAUUCAUACAGAAUGGCAGGCAGGCUCAGGGCAGGCAGAAUGAUCAAAACCGGAAAACAGGGGCUCAAGAAAACAGGAGUACGAAAAACAAGCUGGUAGGCUUGACGAGACAAGAUGAACUGGCAACAGACAAACAGAG
RNAcentral lists this long non-coding RNA (829 nucleotides) under Salmo salar (Atlantic salmon). RNAcentral describes it as "lncRNA (ENSSSAG00000088251.1)". The record is from RNAcentral. Lineage: Eukaryota; Metazoa; Chordata; Actinopteri; Salmoniformes; Salmonidae.